GACAGAGGAGGCAAGCGUUGUUCGGAUUUAUUGGGUGUAAAGGGCAGGUAGGUGGCCUAGCAAGUCUGAUGUGAAAUCCCAGGGCUCAACCCUGGAACUGCAUUGGAAACUGCUUGGCUUGAGUACCGGAGAGGUAAGGGGAAUUCUCGGUGUAAGGGUGAAAUCUGUAGAUAUCGAGAGGAACACCAGUGGCGAAGGCGCCUUACUGGCCCGGUACUGACGCUGAGGUGCGAAAGCGUGGGGAGCAAACAGG
RNAcentral lists this ribosomal RNA (253 nucleotides) under uncultured bacterium. RNAcentral describes it as "partial 16S ribosomal RNA". It matches the Rfam family "Bacterial small subunit ribosomal RNA", at positions 524 to 776 of the family's 1533-position model. The record is from RNAcentral.